Molecule: long non-coding RNA, 2623 nt
Organism: Oncorhynchus masou masou (cherry salmon)
Lineage: Eukaryota; Metazoa; Chordata; Actinopteri; Salmoniformes; Salmonidae
Exons: 3
Source: RefSeq, a predicted model, not a curated record
UCGAGGCCAUUUGGGAGAAUCCCCCAAAGAGGAAGAAAAGGAUGGCCUUUAUGUCCACUCCACAUUUGGACAGAUUAAACGAAGACAAAGAGCUAAUGAAACACAUGGUGGCUCUGGUACCAUCAUUGCCUACUACAACAAGUAUUCCUGGCUUCCCCUCUGCACCACAUCCCAAAGCUGAGGUAUAUCCAAGUAUGUUGAGUCUUGUGCCAGCGUGCCCUAAAGUGGCCAGUCCCCCGGGUUUUGCAUCCACUGGGGGGGCUACAACAUUAGAGUGGCUUGUUAACCCAAAGUCUAUGUUUGAGCACUUGCAGAAAGAUAAGGAGAAUAAAGAAGAAAACGAUUCUCCAAAAUACAGAUCGAAAGAACACAGUGAGAAAGUUAAAGCAAUGGUUGAUAUGGUGUCAUGUGGCUCAGAUGUAUCCACGAUUCCUGGCUUCCCCUCUGCUCCACAUCCAAAAACUGAGGUGGGGCCAAGUAGUGUGCAUCUUGUUCCCUCCUGCACUAAAGUUUCUAGUCUACCUGGUUUUCCAUCCAUUGAGAAGGAUAGGUGGGCAGGGUGGGUUGUUGACCAGAGGCCAUUGUUGAAGAGACCACUAAAGGAGAGGAAAGUCAUUAUUGACAGCUCAAAAGCAGACCAAGAGGAAAUGAAAACCAAUGUUCCUUUGAGGCUAUCAUGUCCACACUCUGCAAGGAUCCCUGGCUUCCCAUCUGUACCCCAACCCAAUAUGAUGAUUAUUUUGCCUGCUUGCUCUAAAGUUUCCAGUGCGGAGGCUACAACAUUAAAGUGGCUUGUUGACCCCAAGCCUGUGUUUGAGCACUUGCUGAAGAAGGAGGAGGAAGAUGUUUUUCCAAAAGACGAAUCAAAAGAAGACAUUGACAAAAUGAAACCAGUAGUUGCUUUAGUGCCAUGUUGCCCAGAAGUAGCCAUCAUUCCUGGCUUCCCCUCUUGUUUCCCCUCUGUACCACAACCCAAAGAUGUCUACUUGGGGCAAACUGUAGUCAACCUUCUUCCAUCUUGCCCAAAAGUCUCCAGUAUUGCAGGUUUCCCAUCUCAUCAGCAAACUGACAGAAAAUAUUGGCACACAGAUCCACCCAGAGAUCAUCAACCAUUAUGGGAGAAGCAACUGAAAAAGAAGCAGAAGUUAUUGAUGGGAAUAUCAGAAAAAGACAAACAAGGAAUGAAAGGAAUAGUGGCUCUGGUACCAUCAUGUCCUACUGCAGCAAGUAUUCCUGGCUUCCCCUCUGCACCACAUCCCAAAGCUGAGGUAGAGCUAAGUAUGUCGAGUCUUGUGCUCGCUUGCCCCAAAAUGUCCAGUCUACCUGGUUUUGCAUCCACUGAUGGGGCUACAGCAUUAGAGUGGCUUGUUGACCCAAAAUCUAUGUUUGAGCACUUGCAAAAGAAGAAGGAAGAGGAAGAAAACAUUCUCCCAAAAGUCAUCGGCAAAACAAAAGCAUUGGUUGCUUUGGUGCCAUGUUGCCCAGAAGAAGGCAGGAUUCCUAGCUUCCGCUCUGCACCACAACCUAAGAGGGAGCUUAAUAGUGUGGAUCUCACGCGAUCUUGCCCCAAAAGCUCCAGUCUCCCAGGUUUCCCAUUGACGGCCAACGUCCAGACAAGAGAUUGGCACGUUGAACAGAAGCCUUUGUUUGAGAAGAAGCUGAAAGAUAAAACCGUAAUAAUCAAAGAUAGGUCACCAGAAGACAGAGAAAAUAGGGUGUCACUGGCACCAUCUUGCCCAUGUGAGAGUCUCACUUCUGGGUUCCCGUUCUUUACACAACUAAAAGCAAUAGAAGAACAAACCGUGUUUUCCCUAAUGCGAGCCUGUCCAAGUGAAUCUCGAGAACCAGGAUUACCUUCUAGACAGCCGUCUGAAUUAGCCCGAACCCAGGGAGAAGAAUCUGUGAGUUCUAUGCAGCCAAUGUGGGAAAAACCAUUGAAGGAUAAUAGGUCAGAGAAUAUGGUGCUUUCCACACCUGACCUCGGCAGUGCAGUUGGAGAUGAAAACCUAAAAACAUUGCUUGCACUGGUUCCAUCUUGCCCCGAGGCAGCAAGCAUUCCUGGUUUCCCGUCUGCCCCUCCUCACAGUCUAGAGUCUACAGAGGCAAAUGAGACAAGUAUGCAGACAGAGAAGGAAGAGGUUACUGGAGAACCAGCAGAGUGUGUUCUAGAUAAGGGUGUCCCCGACAGCCCACAAAUAGAGAAAAUCCCAUCUGAGGAAAUCCAGAAGUCCUCUGCAGUGUUAGAACCAGAGCUGGUCUUAGGAUGGGAGGUGUUGGAGGCUGAGGGGUCUGUGGCAGAGAAGCAGCAGGAGGCCUCUGGCCUAGUACAGACCAUUUUUGGUGUCUUCUCCAGGGGGUAAGUGGGAGAUUGUAGGCUCCUAUGAAGCACGGCAAAGUGUGUGGUGUGUUCUGUAGAUUCUUAGUCUAAUUGUCACCAGUGUCACCCUCACGUUCACUAGUUUAUUUAUAUUAAUGUUUGCAUAUAAUGGCAUUUUCUAUUUUUGAUUCAUUGAUUUAACAAAUCCUAUUUUGGUCAAAUCAAGUACUUUUAGCAACUCUCACAUACAGUUAAUAAAAUAAAUGUAUUGAAGUUUGAAUGAUCUGUGUUUAAUCUCUCAGAUUU